Molecule: ribosomal RNA, 253 nt
Filed under: uncultured bacterium
Lineage: Bacteria
Description: partial 16S ribosomal RNA
Rfam family: Bacterial small subunit ribosomal RNA
Source: RNAcentral
UACGGAGGAUCCGAGCGUUAUCCGGAUUUAUUGGGUUUAAAGGGGGCGCAGACGGCGAUGCAAGCCAGGAGUGAAAGCCCGGGGCCCAACCCCGGGACUGCUCUUGGAACUGCGUGGCUGGAGUGCAGGAGGGGCAGGCGGAAUUCCUGGUGUAGCGGUGAAAUGCGUAGAUAUCAGGAGGAACACCGGUGGCGAAGGCGGCCUGCUGGACUGCAACUGACGUUGAGGCUCGAAAGCGUGGGGAGCAAACAGG